GCUCAGUUGCUGAGGGAGUCGGCACCAAGAGUGAGCUUCUCUAGCUGCAGCAGUCCCCUGUUGGCAUCUCGCCACCCUCCAACACACACAGCCCUGCACCCUCGGAUCAGAGCCGUCAUCCAGAGCCCAGCUCAGUGCCUAUUACAUGAACUGCACAGAUCCUGAGGCCACCUAGUGGAGGUUGCUGCCAUUUUCCUGAACAGAGAAUCCAAGUCCACUCUUCUGCACCAUCUUCAAACCAGGAAGCUGUGAGGGGAACAGUUUCAUUGUUGUUGUUUUUUCCAGUGAAAUCACCCUUCAACUUAGGAUUCAUGCCUACCUUCUGGACUUCUGAGGACUAUGAGAAUGUUGAUAAGCUGAAUGCAACCAUACAGGCUGAAGUCACCCAUCUGGAGGCUCCACUUUCCUCCACAGUGGCCUUGAUAAUAGUGUUGAUGAUUAUUUUCUCAUUGGUAAUGACUUCCUUUGUGACGUACUGUUUCCACAAGUGGAGGCUGAAAGGUCGCAAGCUGCAGACAGCCCAGGAAGAGUAUCAAAGAGAUCAGGAGAAAUAUAUAUUUCAGAGCUUUCCUGAUCUUAUAACCUAAAAAUGCAAUAAACUGACAUGAAGUGCGCCAUCUGCAACAAAGCAACAUAACAUGUAACAAGAAAUGAAAAAAAAAACAUGACAUUAGAAGGAAUAAAGAAAUUAGACAUGAAAUAAUAAGAAGUGAAAUAACAUGUAUUAAAAACCACUGGCAGCAAAAUGACAUGCUGCAAAACAAUAUGAAGUGAAAGGAGAGAAGAAUGACAAUUGUACAAUGAAUUCUCAAAGCAAGAGUUCAUGCAGCUGAUCUGUUCAGCUGUUCAUUGUUUGUGUGCUGCCUACAGUUUUAUUACAGGUUAUAAACAAUUGGCGGUAGGUUUCUUUGUUGUAAAGUGAAGGCAAAGCUAUCACAUAUUUGACAUCUAUGUUUUAUUUACUCUUAACCUUUGGUUUGGUUGGGAGGUGUGGGUAAAUAGAAGUUCUGUACUGCUCAUUUACUUACCAAAGGUGGGCAGCUGAAUACACAGACAGAAAUUUUGUUUAGUAUCAGGCUCAUGAUGUAGUUUACUAGUAUUUCUUGGCCAUUAAUAUUGGUCAUGAAGAUGAGAAGAAGAAAGACUAUAAUUUUGGCACAUGUGGCUGAUAUUUUAAGUACUGACCAUUAGAAAAUAAGUGUGUUAAAUUGUAAGCAAUGUGUGUUUUUUAUUUAAAAGGAGAGGGAGAAAAUCAACUUCCAAACAUUCAAUUACCUCACCCUCCGAAAUUUUGCUUAUUUAUGGCUUGCCUGAAGUUAAUAUUAAUCAAUGUUGUCUAUGUUUGAAGCAGAAUUAUUGUCUGGUGAUAGUGCUGUAUGUAUACUUGUUUUAAUAAGGUAAAGUGAUUGUUAUAAUAUGAAUGAGGUAAUUUUAAAGAGUAUGUAUUAAGUAGUGCCGACAAUUAAAAAUAUAAAAAUUUCUUGGAUGUUAUAAAUGAAAUAUACUAAAUGAUAUAUAGAUUCAUUAUAGAAUGUAUUGUGCAGCAUACCAGUUAUUGGAUAUGAAAGCAGGUAAGCAAUCAGUCAUACUUUGUGACUCAAUAAAGUUAUGCAUUAAAAAUAAAAUGCUAGUAUUUGGACACUAA
Long non-coding RNA from Myotis brandtii (Brandt's bat), 1645 nucleotides. RefSeq lists it as uncharacterized. The transcript is spliced from 2 exons. The record is from RefSeq and is a predicted model, not a curated record. Lineage: Eukaryota; Metazoa; Chordata; Mammalia; Chiroptera; Vespertilionidae.